CCCUCGUUCUAUGUUGCCAGCACGUAAUGGUGGGAACUCAUGGGAUACUGCCGGGGUCAACUCGGAGGAAGGUGGGGAUGNCGUCAAAUCAUCAUGCCCCUUAUGUNUUGGGCUUCACGCAUGCUACAAUGGCCGGUNCAAAGGGCUGCAAUACCGCGAGGUGGAGCGAAUCCCAAAAAGCCGGUCCCAGUUCGGAUUGAGGUCUGCAACUCGACCUCAUGAAGUCGGAGUCGCUAGUAAUCGCAGAUCAGCAACGCUGCGGUGAAUACGUUCCCGGGUCUUGUACACACCGCCCGUCAAGUCAUGAAAGUCGGUAACACCUGAAGCCGGUGGCCCAACCCUUGUGGAGGGAGCCGUCGAAGGUGGGAUCGGUAAUUAGGACUAAGUC
RNAcentral lists this ribosomal RNA (388 nucleotides) under Microbacterium sp. RNAcentral describes it as "bacterial SSU rRNA". It matches the Rfam family "Bacterial small subunit ribosomal RNA", at positions 1102 to 1487 of the family's 1533-position model. Lineage: Bacteria; Bacillati; Actinomycetota; Actinomycetes; Micrococcales; Microbacteriaceae. The record is from RNAcentral.